CUCUGAAGAAACUUUUCCUGCCUCUCUCUCUCUCUCUCUCUUUUUUUUUUUUCCUUUCUUCCCUCUGUCCCCACCUCCAGCCCAAGCUUGGCCAGCCUCUCCGGCUCUGACAGCUCUUAAAGGGAAAGUUACAGGGCUAUGAUUUCACACUGGGGCAGUAAAUUCUCACGGAAGGAGCCGGGGCCAUCCUGCCAAGCCUACGAAGGGAAUACGGGAGCACGCACGGCUGCUCGGCAGUGGUGUAGGUUUGCGCGAGGGAGUUCGUGACCCCAACGGUGACUCCGACGGUCUCUCCAUUUGUCGGCCUCGGACUGGGCCUCUCACCCGAUUCUGGCCAGUAAGACAUAGAGAGAAAUCUGCUGGGGGCUCCUAGAAGGGAUGGCAUCCCUUGGGAGGAGAAAAAAAAAACAACAACGGUCUACUCAUUUUCUUCUUAACUUGUGCGCAAAGUUGAUGGCUGGAGCCACAGCAGUCAUAUCGAGUACGUGAGGCACAAGCUUGAGGAUGAAAAGCCAACGUGCCGAGGCUGGAGGAGCAGAAAAGAGAAGAGGUUGGGUCUUUGGGGUUUUGUAGUGUUACUGCACCAAACCUGGAACAGCUACCUCGAGGUUCAGCGAACCCCUGAUGGACACCGUCGGCCCUGUGCCAUGAGAUCUCUCAUGACCGUAAGGUAGACGGAGUGGAAACUCAGAGAUGCUAAGUGAUUUCAGGGCACGCGCCAAGCCAGGGUCAGGCCUGGGGCCGGGACCACAGUCUCUGGACCGUGACGAGACAGAGUCCGGACGGGGCACUUCCAAGCGAACAAGUUGACCUGCCAGCUCCUGUCGGUGUUCUCUGAUGGGAGCCGCGCGGAACCCCGAGACCGCGACAAGCAGUUGGAACUGACAACCCCGAAGCAUGAUACCGUGCUGGUCCCUCGUGCCUGCUGGUGAAGCCCCCAGUGGCCCGGCCGGCCCCGCUGCAGGUGGCUGUUCUUCAGCCCCGGUGACACCUGGAGGGCGGUGACACGGUGACUCGGGCCGAGUGGCGGGUUAGGAAGCAAGACCCCUGAGGUACCCCCACGGUUCCGCCGCUUCCCGGGGGGGCCUUGGGCAACCGGCAACAUCUCUGCACCUCGGUUUCCCUUGUUUAAAGAAACAGGAUUGCGUUAGCGCCUCACCUACAGGGUCAUCAGGGGCCCUGAAGGAGGCGGUGAGGUGUGGCCACCCGUGGUCGGAGGAGUCAGAACGGGCGGCAGCCGAGGCCGGUAUGAUGGGGUCGUCCUACGUCCAUCCUGUUCCCGGGAUUCAGCAUCUCGAACGAUCUCACAGGGCGGCCUGGGUAUGUGCCUGGGUUCACCCUCGGCGAAUGGGGGCCAGGCACUUCCCACACACGAGCCGGACAAACUCAAAACGACUGGCUGGUGGUGACGGGGACACCAGCUGCCGCUUGUGACGCAUCCGUCACGUCCCAGCGACACUUGCUACCUCGCCGCAUCCCCAUCUUGGUUCAUCCUCGCGGCUGACAUCUCACUGUCAUUGUCCCCUUUUGCAGAUGAGGAAACUGAGGCCUGGCCGCGGCCACUCAGCUGGUGCAGGGCAAAACUGGGAUCGGAACUCACACCCGUGUGGCUUCGAAACAAGCUCUUUUUUCAAGUAGACCAAGGUGCCUCACGUGUUGAACGAGGAGAUGAGUCAACACAGAAAGGAAUGAGCACGGUAGAAGGACAGGCAGACGGACAGACGGAUGCACGCGUGGGGAGAUGAAACCCCUGUCUGAAACAUUCCGGCUCCCAGGCUUUCCCGGGCUGGGCUCCACAUCUCCGUUUUCCACACCCCGUCUCCUUCCCCAACCACUCUGCCAACACAGGCCCUGGUUGGUCUCGCAGACUGUGAGGUCCGAGGGCCACAGCAGACCCACAUCUUCCUCUGUGCUGUGUCCCCAGAAGCCACACAGAUUCCGGCAUAGCACGUGCCUGAGGCCUACUGUGGGUGGGAGGUCACAUGAGCACAUGAGCAGAUGGAGAGGUGGUGAGGGAUGUAUGGGUUUGAUGAAGGAAGGAA
This is a long non-coding RNA of Herpailurus yagouaroundi (jaguarundi), 2042 nucleotides long. RefSeq lists it as uncharacterized. NCBI's taxonomy places the organism in Eukaryota, Metazoa, Chordata, Mammalia, Carnivora, Felidae. The record is from RefSeq and is a predicted model, not a curated record. The transcript is spliced from 2 exons.